GACGAACGCUGGCGGCGUGCUUAACACAUGCAAGUCGAACGGAAAGGCCCUGCUUUUGUGGGGUGCUCGAGUGGCGAACGGGUGAGUAACACGUGAGUAACCUGCCCUUGACUUUGGGAUAACUUCAGGAAACUGGGGCUAAUACCGGAAAGGAGCUCCUGCUGCAUGGUGGGGGUGGGAAAGUUUCGGCGGUUGGGGAUGGACUCGCGGCUUAUCAGCUUGUUGGUGGGGUAGUGGCUUACCAAGGCUUUGACGGGUAGCCGGCCUGAGAGGGUGACCGGCCACAUUGGGACUGAGAUACGGCCCAGACUCCUACGGGAGGCAGCAGUGGGGAAUAUUGCACAAUGGGCGGAAGCCUGAUGCAGCAACGCCGCGUGCGGGAUGACGGCCUUCGGGUUGUAAACCGCUUUCGCCUGUGACGAAGCGUGAGUGACGGUAAUGGGUAAAGAAGCACCGGCUAACUACGUG
RNAcentral lists this ribosomal RNA (468 nucleotides) under uncultured bacterium. RNAcentral describes it as "partial 16S ribosomal RNA". It matches the Rfam family "Bacterial small subunit ribosomal RNA", at positions 28 to 507 of the family's 1533-position model. The record is from RNAcentral.